AAUGAACGCUGGCGGCAUGCCUAACACAUGCAAGUCGAACGAGACCUUCGGGUCUAGUGGCGCACGGGUGCGUAACGCGUGGGAAUCUGCCCCUUGGUUCGGAAUAACUCAGAGAAAUUUGAGCUAAUACCGGAUAAUGACGUAAGUCCAAAGAUUUAUCGCCUAGGGAUGAGCCCGCGUAGGAUUAGCUAGUUGGUGGGGUAAAAGCCUACCAAGGCGACGAUCCUUAGCGGUCUGAGA
Molecule: ribosomal RNA, 240 nt
Filed under: uncultured bacterium
Lineage: Bacteria
Description: partial 16S ribosomal RNA
Rfam family: Bacterial small subunit ribosomal RNA
Source: RNAcentral